GGAGCCCCGCCCCGAAGCACAGGGUCGAGUCCCUUCUUUCCGCUCCAACGCACGGAGGGUGAGGUCGGUACGCGGUGGUGGCGUCACGGCGCCAGCUCCUCCCGACGCCGAGACCAUGGGGGCUCAGCUAAGCGGCGGCCGCGGCGCCCCGGAGCCUGCGCAAACCCAGCCCCAGCCCCAGCCCCAGCCUGCGGCGCCGGAGGGCCCGGAACAGCCCCGGCAUCCGCCCCAGCCCCAGCCCCAGCCCCAGCCCCAGCCCCAGCCCGAGCCCAGCCCGUGGGGGCCGCUGGACGACGUGCGCUUCCUCAUCGCCUGCACUUCCUGGUACUGACGGCGUCCUCCGCAGGAUGUCGCCCGUCUGUCCGCCGUCCCCUGUGGUUCUUGCCUGCCUUGUCUCCUCUCCCCACGUCCCUGCGUCUCUUACACCCCCUCCCACCCGAGGCUCCCCAGAGAUAGCAGAGAAUUCGAAGAGGUCGCCGGGGACUGGAAAGAAGUCCCGGCAGGGCCGCCUUCGCAGUCUACACCCCAGCCUGCUUCCCAGCCUACACCCAGACCCAGCUCAGACCUUCGUGACCACCCCAUCCCUUUCUCCGGCUGGCUGGGUCGGGGGCAUCCCUCUCUGUCGCUGGCUUCCAGAGGCAGGACAGGCCUCCUGGUAAGCCCGCAAAGUUGCUGACCUCCUGACUUCGUCUGCCUUUUAUUAAUAUCUGUAUUGCUGAUAACCGUGCUCUUGACUAUGUGUCCCAGGUCAUGUCCCAGGUCAUGGAGAAGCCCGUGCCACAGUGACCCUCCCCAUACUCCUGGGGGGGCUGCUCUCCAUCCUGGAUCGUAAGGAGGCAUCAUCAGGCUGUGUUCCUGGAACCCCAAUAACCCUGGGCCCCCAGGGCCAGCCUGUUGUAGAGGGAGGCUAUCUGACCGCCGGUCUGGCAGAGGAGAUGGGUGGGCAGCUCCCAGACACCCCAAAGGACCCGGUUCUCUUCCCAGAGCGUCCUAAGGUUACUCUUGGAACCUGAUCUUUGUUCCCUCAUCCCAGGGAAAUGACACACUCUGUAUUUCUGUUUUAUUUAGAAAUGAUUUAAAAAACAUUAUACAAAGGCUGAUCAGUUUAAAAUGUGACUGACACUGAAAUGCUGUGAUGUCCCCCAGGCUGAGGGGAAGCUAGGCUCUGGGGCCCCCAGUGCUUUGCCCCUCUGUCUGCCCUGUCCUGGGGUGAUGGACAAACAGAUGACCACAGGCAGGAGAAUCUGAGAUUGGAAGCCUCUAGGCUGAGCCCUCUGGGCCUGGCCCCACAUCCCUCACCUCUGCAGCCUGGGCUGCCUGCCUCCAUCUCCUGUUCAUUCUCAGCUGGCCUGCCAGGAGCCAAUGGGGAGCCUGGCGGGAGGCGGGGGUGCCUAGAGCUUUCAAGAAGUGAGAGCACCAACCUGAGGAGUGGACAGGGACCAGGAAGUGGGGGAAGGGAGGCCAGGAAGAGGUGGAUACAGGAGACACUUCUCAUCUCAUCUCAGACCCUAGAGGGGUCCACAGAUGGGGACACAAGACCCAGCCAGCCCACUGGAUGGCCCGGGCAAGUAACAACCUCUCUGUGCUUCAUCUGAGGGCACGGUGAGAGUUACCGUCGGCCUCCCAGGGCCUAACACGAGUUUCAUGUGAGUGGACAGGUGUGAGCUAAUAAAGUGCUUUGCAAAGUAUAAAACACUGUACAAACCUAUGAA
RNAcentral lists this long non-coding RNA (1712 nucleotides) under Homo sapiens (human). Its description in RNAcentral is "non-protein coding lnc-MMP24OS-73:2". Lineage: Eukaryota; Metazoa; Chordata; Mammalia; Primates; Hominidae. The record is from RNAcentral.